This is a small nuclear RNA of Chlorocebus sabaeus (green monkey), 108 nucleotides long. NCBI's taxonomy places the organism in Eukaryota, Metazoa, Chordata, Mammalia, Primates, Cercopithecidae. The record is from Ensembl.
GUACUUGUUUCCGCAGUACAUAUUUUAAAAUUAGAUCAAUACAGAGCAGAUAAGCAUGGCUGCUGCCUGGGGAUUGGCACACAAAUUGAGAAAGCAUUCCAUAUUUUG